Molecule: non-coding RNA, 90 nt
Filed under: Palpitomonas bilix
Lineage: Eukaryota
Source: RNAcentral
AUUGCAAAUAUUAAUAAUGUGCUAUACACAGUGAGAGUGGCCAAUUUGAGUAAAACAAAGGGAGAAACACCUGUUGUCCGCUUCUCCCUU